Molecule: RNA transcript, 5518 nt
Organism: Hemibagrus wyckioides
Lineage: Eukaryota; Metazoa; Chordata; Actinopteri; Siluriformes; Bagridae
Gene name: myelin-oligodendrocyte glycoprotein-like
Exons: 12
Source: RefSeq, a predicted model, not a curated record
CACUGCCAUGGCUGGAGGUUUAAUAGCCAAUACAAACAGUAUGGGAGACAAAGGGCAUCCCUGACGAGGCCAUCACUGUAAAAUAAACGGUCUUGGCUUUGUAUGGUAUUGUUAGUUAGGAUCUCAGAGGCUGAAGUUUGUCUAUAAGAAUCAAAUUCAUUUAAGAAAUUAUGCCUAAUCCAAACCUUAGGACUAUUUCUAAAAGAUGUAUUUUAUUCUUAUUGAUCCAACUGCUGAUAUACAAUGUGUUGGUGCAGAACAAUGAGAUACGUACGGCUGAAGAAGGUGAUACAGUCAUCUUACCAUGUUCCGUCGAUCCCACUGCAGCAGGUGGGGAUGUAUUUUGGCGAAAUGAAGAAGAACACCAAGUGGUGGUUGAUAUCAUCAUGGGUAAAGAAGAUUUUAACGACCAGAGCCCAAAGUACAGAGGCAGAGUUAAAACUUUUACAACUGAGAUUGCAGAAGGAAACUUCUCCAUCUUGCUGAGUAAUGUGACGCUCUCAGACUCGGGAAUUUACACCUGUUACGCCCCUAAACCUGUUCAGAGAGUAGAACUGAGUGUUACAGGUCUGCGGAUUGAAGAACACGCUGAAAGACGGGGAAGAGCCGAAGUCUGCCGCCGUUUUCAUAUGAAAAUUAAAGGGGACUGAGGAGAUCACCAAUUUGUGUAGAGUUUAUGGAGAAUUGCAGAAUUUUAGGAGGGUAGAAAUGUUUAAAUGGCCUGGCGGUGCCCAUGGUGGCAUUAUAAUGACGGUAUAGAGGUGGAUUAAUUCAGGAAGGACACCAGUGAAGGCCUAGGUGUGAAAUGCACCGCCCGCCACUGGUAGGGAAUAAUGUUCAAAAGGGUCCUAUAUGUCAGGGGUUUUCAGAAUCAGAGACAGUGGGCCUUCUUUUUGACACAACAUACAUUUGUUAGCCGACUUUUAUCAACUGUGUCAACAUUAAAAAUAAAAAUUAUGACUUUUAUCUGAAUAAUAAGAUUGUUGUGUUUUCUGACCAUAUUUUUAUUAUUAUUAUUGCUCAAGGUCUGUAAGGUUUUAGUCAUGUGGUGUGAAGGUGGCGCUGCGCAGACCGAGAGGUGUAUGAAAAUAUCGCGAGAGCAGUUGUAGAGCAUAUUCCAGCACACCCUCUUGCGGUAUUUUGGCCUGUACGUGUGUGUGUGUGUUUUGUGUGUGUUUUCCAGUAAUCUAUUAGCUUUUAUUAACUGGAUAUCCAGUAAACUGCAUUUUUAAACAUCAGAUACACCUUUCGUUCUGAUGCACUAUGCUGCCCCCUGCUGUGCACUUUCAGUAGUUUGACAUGAUAAAAACAAAAUGCAACUCAACUGACUUUUUAACCAAGGUAAAUCUAUAUAUGCAAUACUUUAAUCUAGCUUUUUAAAUAAUGUUAUAUUUGUUCAAAGUGUAAUUAAAUGUGCUUCUAUUUUAUUUAUAUUUAUAAAAGCAUAUAACUUAGACCCUUAUAAUGUAAAGGCACAAUGCCAUGUCAUAUAUCAUGACCACCACUAGGGGAGCUGUUCUGCGUUAAAACGAGAAAUCUGUCAUAAAUGGUGUUUUAGGUCAUGUUUGAGAUCUAAAAUUCUUUAGUGCAAAUAUGUGAGGUUGCAGAAAAUCGAAUGAUUUGAUUCUUAUGUUUUGGUUUUGUUUAUUAAAAAAAGAGUUUACCUAUGUAUACGAUUACAGAAAUUCACAAAAGUCUUUGUAGACUUUUUAUCAGCCUCUUAACUGUACUAUAUGGUCACAUGCAUUAUUAUCAUUUCAGUUUAUACAGAUUUUGAAAGAAAGUGAACAGAUUAGCCAGAUAUUUCCUUUCACAGGACUAGUUAGCAUAAAAGAAGUGUUUGUUUUCAAAUUGUAUAUGUUUAUAAAGUGUUGUUUAGUAAACUUAAAUAUUAAUCUUUUAAUUAAACUUAAAUUUAAUCUAAAUUGGUUACAAGAAUAUAUGUUGUUGACUUUGUGGGGGUUUUGUUUUAUAUAUACAUAUUUUUUUAUGUUGAUUUUGCCAUAUGGUAGCAUGGUCAAUAUGUAUGAAGUAUUCAGUUUUAGGGUUAGCUUUAGCUUUAGGGUUUUUUCUAUUUAGAAUCACAUAACAUCAGGUGUUGCCAAUGGUCACAAAUUAAUGUCAAGAGGGACAGAUGUUUUUUAACCCCUCCUCUAAAGACUUCUGGUCUUUACAUCAGGAAAAGCUAAAAAAAAAAAAAAAAAAAGCUUGCGGUCAGAGCCACUUCCCCUCAGUCCUGCAGCUGUAAAUGUGUUCAGAUCUGAAGCUUCUUCACUGAUCAAGUUUCAUCAUGAAGAUCCUCAACAUUUACUUCUAUCUACUUGUGUGCUGUGGAGCUGCUGAAUGUUUCACAGAGAAGUCGGUCAGUUUGGGACAAAAUGUGACUUUAAAGUGUGAGGUGUCUGUAAGAGAGGUGUUCUGGUUCCUGAUGAAGCCGUCAGAAGCUCCAGUAUAUAUAUUACGCUCUUUUGCAAGCAGGUCACUGUCAGCAGAUUACAGAAACACAACCUUCAGCAAGAGAUUCUCACUGCAGUAUAACAGCAGUUUAUUUAUACACAAUAUCAGUACUAAUGAAUUAGGAGUCUAUUAUUGUAUUCAGACUCAAAAAGCUUCACCUCCAGACAUCAGCAGUGGAAUCAGACUUUAUAUCCAGAAUCAGAUUUUACAUCCAGAGUCAGCUGACAAUCAGACGAGGAAUCAGACGCCUGAUAAAACUGGAGAGAUCAGACUCUGGAGAAAUCUCUCCAUCAUAGUGGGAAUGGUGAUCAGUGUUGUGAUUCUUUCAGUCACAGUCUCCAUCACAAGCUGCCGUGGAAAAACCAAAUCUCCAAACUGUGAUGUGAAGCUUCUAGAAGUCACUGGAACACAGAGCUGGUUGCUGAAAGGAACUAAUGACAACAGCUACACUGUGGUGGAGUUUAUUCCAUUUCACCCUCUGAAGUAACACACACACACACACACACAUACAUGAUCAAACUAAACUUUUGUCCUUGUUUCUCAUAAUUAGCCUCUACAGCUGAGAGUGUCAUGGUUUAGAAGGGAAGAUGGCUGGAGCUUCACUGCUCAUCUUCUCUUGCUGUCUUUGUAGCUGUUUAACACCAGGCCAUGAUGUCAUUGUAAAUCUGCUGUUUACUGAACGAAGCGUGUCUUCUCUCAAUCAAAGUCCUACUUUCAAACCUGGACCUGUGUCACUGUGUCUCAUUAUAUUCAUCUGUAAGGAGUGUGUGUAUUAAACACAGUGUAGCAGUGACUCCUCUGCUGUUUCUAAUAAUAAACUUCCUGUUAUUAAAGACUGAGACUCUGUUGUGUGCUGAUGAUGCAAUUCUUCAUUAACAAGCUGAAGAUUUAACACCUUAUCUGUGUCUCUUUCUAAAAUAACUAAAUAAGGAGUUUCACAUCAACCAGACACCACAAAGCCAUCACUUAGUGAUGAACUGCAGUGUGUUCAUGUUCAUUGUGUAGGAGAUAUUGUGUGUUCAGUUGGGUUCAGUUUGUGGAUUCAGAAUGUAUCUCAGAUUAAUGCAGAUAAAUGAACACCUUCAUCAGGAGAUGCUGAAGUGUUACUGAUCAAUAAAACUAUUUUUUUGUUCACCCAACAUCAGACAGUGAACUGUGAGUCUUAACCUAACGUGAGUUCGACACCACGACCCUCAGCAAUCCCCAAAACCAGGGGAACUAAACUGAAGGGAUUUAUAAUUGUUUAUCAUUAAAUAAAUUCACGACAUUGGUGAAAUCUCUACUAAACUAUCUGAGGAUUUAUGAAGAUGUUUUUCUACACACAUGAAGUUCUUUCUGGUCUGUACAUCAGGAAGAGAUGAAAAAAGCUUGCGGUCAGAGCGAGUUGAACUGCCACUUCCCCUCAGUCCUGCAGCUGUAAAUGUGUUCAGAACUGAAGCUUCUUCACUGAUCAAGUUUCAUCAUGAAGAUCCUUCACAUUUACUUCUAUCUACUUGUGUGCUGUGGAGCUGCUGAAUGUUUCACAGAGAAGUCGGUCAGUUUGGGACAAAAUGUGACCCUAAAGUGUGAGGUGUCUGUAAGAGACGUGUUCUGGUUCCUGAUGAAGCCGUCAGAAGCUCCAGUAUAUAUAUUACGCUCUUUCUCUGACAAAUCUCUGUCAGCAGAUUACAGAAACACAACCUUCAGCAAGAGAUUCUCACUGCAGUAUAACAGCAGUUUAUUUAUACACAAUAUCAGUACUAAUGAAUUAGGAGUCUAUUAUUGUAUUCAGACUGGUUCACCUCCAGACAUCAGCAGUGGAAUCAGACUUUACAUCCAGAAUCAGAUUUUACAUCCAGAGUCAGCUGAGAAUCAGACGAGGAAGACUGAAGAGUGUCAGAAUCAGAUGUCUGAUAAAGCUGGAGAGAUCAGACUCUGGAGAAAUCUCUUCAUCAUAGUGGGAAUGGUGAUCGGUGUUGUGAUUCUUUCAGUCACAGUCUCCAUCACAAGCUGCUGUGGAAAAACCAAAUCUCCAAACUGUGAUGUGAAGCUUCUAGAAGUCACUGGAACACAGAGCUGGUUGCUGAAAGCAACUAAUGACAACAGCUACACUGUGGUGGAGUUCAUUCCAUUUCACCCUUUGAAGUAACACACACACACACAUACACACACAAUCUGUGGUUCCAGUCUGCACGCUAACACGUCUCACAUAUGUCUGAUGUGUACAGCUCAAUCUCCCGCUUCUGGUUCUCUGAGUCUGACCUUCUGCAGUCGAUUUCUCACCAGGGUUUGUCUACAUGAUCAAACUAAACUUUUGUCCUUGUUUCUCAUAAUUAGCCUCUACAGCUGAGAGUGUCAUGGUUUAGAAGGGAAGAUGGCUGGAGCUUCACUGCUCAUCUUCUCUUGCUGUCUUUGUAGCUGUUUAACACCAGGCCAUGAUGUCAUUGUAAAUCUGCUGUUUACUGAACGAAGCGUGUCUUCUCUCAAUCAAAGUCCUACUUUCAAACCUGGACCUGUGUCACUGUGUCUCAUUAUAUUCAUCUGUAAGGAGUGUGUGUAUUAAACACAGUGUAGCUGUGACUCCUCUGCUGUUUAUAAUAUUUGUUAUUAAAGACUGAGUCUCUGUUCUUCCACUAGGGGGCAGAAUGGAGUAAUAAUCUCAGGGCUGUAAACUCAACUACUGACAGAAUGUGCUGAUGAUGUAUUUUUUCCUUAACAAGCUGAAGGUUUAACACUGUAACCUUGUCUCUGUGUUACUGAUCAAUAAAACUAUUUUAUAAAGUACUUUGGGGUCAUCUGAGUCAAAAAGAUCACAGGACAAAUCCUGUUCAGAGAUUUUAUACAGUAGUUCCCAUGUGUAAUUUAAAUGAAUUUCACUUUAAAUGUAAAUUAUUGUAAGAGCUGAGUAUCACACAAAUGGCCUGGUGAUACUGUCGUUUACCUGGAUGUCCUUAAAUGGUAAUCACGGUCACAUACACCUUGGCUUGGUUUUGUUAUAAGUGAUAUCACCCAAAUGGUCGGUCACCCAAAUACUAAAUGUUAAUCAUGUAUACCCUUUGUUCAGUGAUUGUCCUUGAUGUCU